CAAGUCCUUGAGGCUCAUAAGGGAUUUGAAUCCUUUGCUGACUAAGGAUGCAAUUUAAAUAAAUGCUCAUCAUUAAGCAGAGUUGCCAGCAGCAAUUUUGAGCAGACCAUGGCUGUAGACCUGGCAUCAGAUGAAGUGUCAUAAAGCAUUACAAAGCCAAAGAGGAGACAAGGAAUCCUUGCUUCUGAUUUUGCCUGGAAAGACUCUUGACUACUUCCAAGUGUACAUCUGAUAUCAAGCAAGCAACUAUUAAACUUUUCAAAUGCAACAAGCUUUGCUGAACCCCUCCCAUAGUCAUUGCUAUUUGCAGUGAAUUCAGCAAAGUCAAGAGGAAAGACCAUGGUGGGCAAAUGUUCCUUGGGGUCAGGCUGUGGGAGGGCAAGAAGUCUGAGAUCAUGAUUUCCCAAGACAAACAGAUCUGACUGGAGAGCUAUGUACCUUUUAUUUUUCCUGUAGAUUCCUGACUCAAAGAUAUUUGAAUCACCUGAAUGUCAGCAUACCCAGUGCAGUGUAAGAACAUACUGCUAUGACACCAGCACCAUAGCCAUCAGGCUCUGAGACAUCUGAUGGAGGCAUGGAGCCAUCUCAGGUGAGCUUUCCAUGUUCUGAUACUAAGACAGUGAUGGUGUUUUCAGAGGCAACUUCUGAAUAUAUUUAAUGUAUUUACAUUUUUAUCUAUUCUCAUUUCAAGCUGUCUGAGCUAACCCAAAGAUGUGGGGUGAUUUAAUGACAAAAGAAACAGUGCUUGCAUGUUAGGG
This 758-nucleotide long non-coding RNA is filed under the name Numida meleagris (helmeted guineafowl). RNAcentral describes it as "lncRNA (ENSNMEG00000007819.1)". The record is from RNAcentral. Lineage: Eukaryota; Metazoa; Chordata; Aves; Galliformes; Numididae.